GCCAGGAAGUGGAAGAAAGAGAGAGCCUAAGAGCACUGGGAAUGGGAACAUGGAGGAAAGCCUUACUCGUCUGUUUUCACCUCGAGUGUUGGAGGUGCAAAUAUUCAGUUUGGUGUUUUCCUGAUGCCUCCCAUUCCUAUGGUUCUUGAGCACUCCUUCCUCUUCCUUUUGGCC
This is a non-coding RNA of Brachypodium distachyon (stiff brome), 174 nucleotides long. NCBI's taxonomy places the organism in Eukaryota, Viridiplantae, Streptophyta, Magnoliopsida, Poales, Poaceae. The record is from Rfam.